GCAUACCUAUACACAGAAGCUCCACCAGAUAUACACCGUGAUUGCUGUGACGAUGGAGGGAAGAAUGGCUACUGUAGUUGUGGUGCUUAUCCUGGGAUGUUUCGUGGUUCUCUCACAAUCUCAACUCACAAAUCAAGACGAAUCUCCGUGCUAUUGCAUGCGCUACGCCCGCUAUUUUACCAAUAAGUACUUCUGCUGUGUAGGCCUUAAAGCCCCGACCCCAAGCCAAUGCUAUAGCUCAGACUAUCAAUGUAACAGAAAUUGCUGCACGGCAACAGCACCGGCACCGGCAACCGGCACCAAUACCGGCACCAACACCAGCAAUAACUCAUAAGUCCUUUUAGCUAAUGGAAAGUAUGAUCGACUGCAUCCUCCAAAAAAACAAAAAAAGGAGGAAGCAGACGAAAAGUUGUUACAUUUCAACAUCGGAGAGGGCAAUCAAUAAUUAAUUAGCAUUAUGGAUGAAUGUAACCAGUAAAUGUCCAUUUGUCUAGUGAUAAUAAAUAUGAGAUUGCCUACAUGUUCUUAUC
Molecule: long non-coding RNA, 530 nt
Organism: Sorghum bicolor (sorghum)
Lineage: Eukaryota; Viridiplantae; Streptophyta; Magnoliopsida; Poales; Poaceae
Exons: 2
Source: RefSeq, a predicted model, not a curated record